UGAGUUGACCGAGCGGUCGCGUCCACCGAUGGAGGUGGAUGAGGAAAGUCCGAACUCCGGAGGACAGGGUGCUCGCUAACGGCGAGUCGUCGCGAGGCGAAGGCAAGCGCAACAGAAAGCAUACCGUUCCGAUUCAGACGAUUCGGAAUAAGGGUGAAAAGGUGAGGUAAGAGCUCACCGUCGUUCGCAGCGAUGCGGAUGAUCGGCAAGCCCCACCCGGAGCAAGGUCAAGCAACAGGGAUUCGGCUUAAUCGUAUGGUCGAAGCGAGGUUGUCCGUCUCGCCUUACCUGUGGGUAGACCGCUUGACGGCAACAGCAAUGUUGUCGCAAGACAGAUGACCGCAUAAACCAGAAUUCGGCUUACGGGUUGACUCACUCC
This 379-nucleotide RNase P RNA is filed under the name Bacteroidota bacterium. RNAcentral's name for it is "Bacteroidetes bacterium (marine metagenome) RNase P RNA component class A". It matches the Rfam family "Bacterial RNase P class A". From Rfam's summary of the family: Ribonuclease P (RNase P) is a ubiquitous endoribonuclease, found in archaea, bacteria and eukarya as well as chloroplasts and mitochondria. Its best characterised activity is the generation of mature 5'-ends of tRNAs by cleaving the 5'-leader elements of precursor-tRNAs. Lineage: Bacteria; Pseudomonadati; Bacteroidota. The record is from RNAcentral.